CGUGCAGCUGGGUCUGCAAGUCAGAUGUGAAAUCCAUGGGCUCAACCCAUGAACUGCAUUUGAAACUGUAGAUCUUGAGUGUCGGAGGGGCAAUCGGAAUUCCUAGUGUAGCGGUGAAAUGCGUAGAUAUUAGGAGGAACACCAGUGGCGAAGGCGGAUUGCUGGACGAUAACUGACGGUGAGGCGCGAAAGUGUGGGGAGCAAACA
Molecule: ribosomal RNA, 207 nt
Filed under: uncultured bacterium
Lineage: Bacteria
Description: partial 16S ribosomal RNA
Rfam family: Bacterial small subunit ribosomal RNA
Source: RNAcentral